This 100-nucleotide non-coding RNA is filed under the name Clostridium botulinum. RNAcentral describes it as "Guanine sequence". It matches the Rfam family "Purine riboswitch aptamer". From Rfam's summary of the family: Riboswitches are metabolite binding domains within certain messenger RNAs that serve as precision sensors for their corresponding targets. Allosteric rearrangement of mRNA structure is mediated by ligand binding, and this results in modulation of gene expression. The record is from RNAcentral. Lineage: Bacteria; Bacillati; Bacillota; Clostridia; Eubacteriales; Clostridiaceae.
AAAAUUAACGAAAAAAUUAUUUGUAUAACCUCAAAAAUAUGGUUUGAGGGUAUCUACCAGGAACCGUAAAAUCCUGAUUACAAAGAAAAGGAUACGUCUU